This 751-nucleotide long non-coding RNA is filed under the name Homo sapiens (human). RNAcentral's name for it is "novel transcript". The record is from RNAcentral. Lineage: Eukaryota; Metazoa; Chordata; Mammalia; Primates; Hominidae.
GCUAAUGAAAACAGAGUGAUGAGCAGAGCAGUGGCUAGAUCUUCAGUUCAAUUCUUCUGUUGUUUGUAUUAAUAGAUGACAUCUUCUGAAAAUUUCUUAAUAAUUAUAUUUGGCAUUUAAGAAACAAAAUACAAUUGUCUUUUCCUAUAUUUUUAAGUCUAUUUAAAUUUUUGACUUACAAGCUAACUUAUCUUUAUUUCUCUAAUCCUAGGCAUCCACUAAAAACAGUCUCUAUUAGUGUAUAUUUUGCAAGUAAUCAAAAUCACAGUAACUGAGGAAAAUUAGGACAAGCCUAAUAGUAGCCAAGCUCUAAAUAGGCUUUAAAAUAAAAAUAGGAUAUGUGACUCAGAAUACAGUACUAGUUCUUCAUCUUACAGAUGUUCUCAGCCAUCGGAGUCAGCGUGGGCUAUGACACUGAAAAGACAGCAUCUCUGACCACGGAAGGGACAUGACAGAAAUGCUGUCAUGAUAUUUAUAUUCCACCUACUCGAAAGACCAAUUGAGAAACUCCAUAUGGACUCCAGUUUGCCACUAGCCCACAGAAUUGAAGUUUCUUAGCUGGCUUAAAUUAAGAAUUUUGGGGCAUUCAUUGGAAUCAGCUUCGAUGGAGGAAUAACUGAACCACUGUGUAUACAGACAGAUCAUAAAGCGGUGAACUGGGCUAUUGAAAUACUGAAGCUUUCCCAAAAAACUUUUGCCAUAUUUAUUUAUAUAAUGCAAAGUAAAAUAGUAAUAUCUUUCUUUCAAAAAA